This is a long non-coding RNA of Lepidothrix coronata (blue-crowned manakin), 303 nucleotides long. RefSeq lists it as uncharacterized. Lineage: Eukaryota; Metazoa; Chordata; Aves; Passeriformes; Pipridae. The transcript has 3 exons. The record is from RefSeq and is a predicted model, not a curated record.
GAAAACACAGGGUGGAUAAAAAUAAAGGAUAAAUAUAAACAGCUAGGAGUAAACAGACACUUCAGAACCACUUGUGAAUUAUCAAGAUGAGAAAACCAAGUUCAUCAUCCCAUAAUAUCAGUCAGCUGGUGGGUAGGUGCAUAAUCUAAACAGUGGAGCACUGCAGACACAGAUUAAGUGAUUUCUUUAAAGCACACAAGAUUUGUGACACCUAAGAACUGAAUCUUCAAUCCUAGAACCAGUUAAAACAUGUGUGUGUAAUGGAAGAGCAGUUCCACCACUUAAGGAAGCUGGAAGCUCCGU